Molecule: long non-coding RNA, 1518 nt
Organism: Rhinolophus ferrumequinum (greater horseshoe bat)
Lineage: Eukaryota; Metazoa; Chordata; Mammalia; Chiroptera; Rhinolophidae
Exons: 4
Source: RefSeq, a predicted model, not a curated record
CACGGGCUCAUCCACCAGGUAAGUCCUAGUACAGCGUCCGCAGUGUCCGCCCUGGGAGCUGCUAGAGCCAGGUUAGCGCUUUGUGCUCCAUCAAACGUUUGCCCGUCUUUGAAUAUGUAAAUAGUGUAAAUGAUAGAUGCUUCCUUUUAGCACCCCUUUCCCUGCCCUAGAAGAAUUUAAGCGAUUGAAAAAAAAAAAAAUCCCUGCCUGAUCACUUAGAAUGCCACCCACACGACAAAAAUGAAGACUACAUUCAGGCCCCAACAAUUAAAUGGGGGCGGGGGAAUUGGGAAAAGAGUAAGGGGGGAAAGAUAGAGGUGACCGGCUGCAAGCAGUCCCCAGGCCGUUCUACCGCUCCUGGUAAUGGGCCUCACGUCCUGAGCGUGGAAAGGAUUUUGGAGUCCAGGAAAGAUGAAAGUUUCUGGCUCCUCCCCUUCCCGUCCCCCUAGCUGUGUUGCGGGGAGCUGCCGUCGAGCUCGGUCGGCUGGAGGAUCGGGCGAAGUCGGUGACUACCAGGCGGCGUAGGAAGGCGCUGAUCUGCUGGAUCUGAGUCCUGCAGGGAGGCUCUGUACCGGUCCCCCUCGAGCCAGAAAGAGACCCGGUGACACAGCCCUCCGGUAGGACCAAGCUCGCGCCAUCCGGCUCCCUCCUUUGGGCGCCUGCAGAACCCAGAAGCGCAGUGGCCCUUUGCCCAGGGCCCCCAAGAGGCAUCAAGAUUGAGGGCGACCACACAGGCCUCUGACUGCGGUGCCCUUUCUGACUUAAAAUAGUCAUCUUGCACCAUUCACACGGUCGAAGUUGCAGUGUGCCUAGAUUUUCCUUCAAGGACAAAAAUGUGAAUAAAGCAAUAUUUCAGCCAAACAUUUCUGUGUCAAUUAAGAAGACGGCAAUUCGUUCCAGACUAUAAAUUCUCUUUAACAACUCUCUAAGGAACUCUACUUCAAUACUCUUGACCCGGAUCUGGACACAGAAGACUCCUGUUUCAAGAAAAUACAAUCAUCUCUCAAAGUCUGUAAUUUAUAUGCAUUUUUAACUCGCUAGGUAUUGAAAACCACCCAAGUGUCCCACAACAUGGGGUAAAAUAUAAUCAAUCACUCAGUGUAAUAUUAUACAUCCUUUUAAAAUGUUAUUGGAAAAUGUUUUAUGAUCUGUAACUCGAAAUAACCCUCUCCCACCAUUUCUCUCUCCCUGCUGCUCCCCUAUACCCACGCUUCUUUGUUCCAAUUGGCAUGUAAACGUAUUUUUCCCACCAAAUGAGUCAGUCACGAUGGGAACAGCAAUUGAUUUGAACAGAUGUGUGUCAAUGUUACUUGGGAAACUGGAUGCCAAUAACCAGGGCCACAAAAAAAGGCAGUGUUUGCAACUCCGUAAAAAUUUGUGUGUGCAUACAGACAAGGGCUAAAGUGGAACCCAAAAAAGGAAAAUAGUUGGAUAUACUCCAGUGCUGGGAGAUUGAAUGAUUGUAUUCUGCUUUUGAUUUCCGUUAAUACGGGCAACUGUCCAAUUAAAAAGACCUAA